UAUUCAAAAUUUUUAUUCAAAAACCUGCGUUUUACAGCAAGUGCAGCCAUUGCAAAAAAGUUUUGCGCGCUAGGACCUCUGUGUGUCCGUCCACGUUAGGCUGGUGUAGUCUGGGAAUUACACCUGCAGCGAUUUAUUUGGUGAAGUGCAGCCGUUACAUACUUACAAGUGAGGGUAUUUUUAACACUGCAGCCUUUGGUUUGGUCAAGUGGAGCCUUUGCAUACUUACAAGUGAGGAUCAUUUGUGUGGCCAUCCACGAAAUGUAAUUCAAUUUAAGAUAUUAAACAUCUAAUUUUUAAAUGCA
This is a long non-coding RNA of Rhagoletis pomonella (apple maggot), 305 nucleotides long. RefSeq lists it as uncharacterized. The transcript is spliced from 3 exons. Lineage: Eukaryota; Metazoa; Arthropoda; Insecta; Diptera; Tephritidae. The record is from RefSeq and is a predicted model, not a curated record.